CGAAUUCGCCCUUCCUACGGGAGGCAGCAGUGGGGAAUUUUACGCAAUGGGGGAAACCCUGACGUAGCGACACCGCGUGAGCGAAGAAGCCCUCUGGGGUGUAAAGCUCUGUCAGCAGGGACGAAAAAAAUGACGGUACCUGCAGAGGAAGCAUCGGCUAACUACGUGCCAGCAGCCGCGGUAAGACGUAGGAUGCAAGCGUUGUCCGGAUUCAUUGGGCGUAAAGAGAUCGUAGGCGGUUUGUUAAGUCUGAUGUUAAAGAUCAGGGCCCAACCCUGAGAGUGCAUUGGAUACUGGCAGACUGGAGUGCAGUAGAGGCAAGUGGAAUUCCCAGUGUAGCGGUGAAAUGCGUAGAUAUUGGGAAGAACACCGGUGGCGCAGGCGACUUGCUGGGCUGUAACUGACGCUGAGGAACGAAAGCUAGGGGAGCAAAUGGGAUUAGAUACACCAGUAGUCCUAGCUGUAAACGAUGGAUACUAGGCGUUGCAGGUAUCGACCCCUGCAGUGCCGCAGUUAACGCGAUAAGUAUCCCGCCUGAGUAGUACGGCCGCAAGGUUGAAACUCAAAGGAAUUGACGG
RNAcentral lists this ribosomal RNA (578 nucleotides) under uncultured bacterium. RNAcentral's name for it is "bacterial SSU rRNA". It matches the Rfam family "Bacterial small subunit ribosomal RNA", at positions 325 to 916 of the family's 1533-position model. The record is from RNAcentral.